GACGAACGCUGGCGGCGUGCCUAACACAUGCAAGUCAACUUGACUGAAGGAGCAAUCUGACAGUAGAGUGGCGCAAGGGUGCGUAACGCGUAAGUACCUUGCCCAAGGUAAGGAAUAACGUCGAGAAAUCGGCGCUAAUACCUCAUAAUGCAGCGGAUCCGCAUGGAUAUGUUGUUAAAGGUUUACCGCCUUGGGACAGGCUUGCGUCUGAUUAGCUAGUUGGUGUGGUAACGGCACACCAAGGCUACGAUCAGUAACUGGUCUGAGAGGAUGAUCAGUCACACUGGAACUGAGACACGGUCCAGACUCCUACGGGAGGCAGCAGUGAGGAAUAUUGGGCAAUGCUCGAAAGAGUGACCCAGCAACGCCGCGUGGAGGAUGAAGGUAUUCUAUAUCGUAAACUCCUGUGAGAGCAGACGAAAGACAGAUUAUUAAUCUGGAUGACUGUAUGCUCAGAGGAAGCCCCAGCAACUACG
RNAcentral lists this ribosomal RNA (476 nucleotides) under uncultured bacterium. Its description in RNAcentral is "bacterial SSU rRNA". It matches the Rfam family "Bacterial small subunit ribosomal RNA", at positions 28 to 505 of the family's 1533-position model. The record is from RNAcentral.